CCUACGGGAGGCAGCAGUGGGGAAUAUUGGGCAAUGGGCGCAAGCCUGACCCAGCAACGCCGCGUGAAGGAAGAAGGCUUUCGGGUUGUAAACUUCUUUUCUCAGGGACGAAGAAAGUGACGGUACCUGAGGAAUAAGCCACGGCUAACUACGUGCCAGCAGCCGCGGUAAUACGUAGGUGGCAAGCGUUAUCCGGAUUUACUGGGUGUAAAGGGCGUGUAGGCGGGAAAGCAAGUCAGAUGUGAAAACCAUGGGCUCAACCUGUGGCCUGCAUUUGAAACUGUUUUUCUUGAGUACUGGAGAGGCAGACGGAAUUCCUCGUGUAGCGGUGAAAUGCGUAGAUAUGAGGAGGAACACCAGUGGCGAAGGCGGUCUGCUGGGCAGCAACUGACGCUGAGGCGCGAAAGCGUGGGGAGCAAACAGGAUUAGAUACCCUUGUAGUC
Molecule: ribosomal RNA, 443 nt
Filed under: uncultured bacterium
Lineage: Bacteria
Description: partial 16S ribosomal RNA
Rfam family: Bacterial small subunit ribosomal RNA
Source: RNAcentral